AAUGGCCUCAAUGUGACCCUUUUCGAACUCCGAAUAAGCCCAGAGGGAGAACUUUUUACCGUCUGUUUCCGGUGAGACCUCAAAGUUCCUUCUUCCACUCACUAUUUCUAGUAAAACCAUCCCAUAGCUAUAAACAUCACACUUUGAGGUUAUUGGAUGAUUUGCAAGCCACUCUGGUGCCAAGUAUCCUCUAGUCCCUCUAAUGCUUGCCAAUGACAAGUGCCUAUGAUCCUUUGGAUUCAUAAGCCUUGCAAGGCCAAAAUCCGACACUUUGGCAGUGUAAGCUUCAUCCAACAGAAUGUUUUCCGGUUUUAUAUCGCAGUGAAUUAUGCAGUCUCGACAUUCCUCAUGAAGGUAGGUGAUUCCCCUAGCCGUUCCAAGAGCAAUGUUGAAUCGAUUUUCCCAUUUCAAUGAUUUUCCGGAUUGGUCUUUCGACGUAAAAAGGAACUUGUCAAGUGAACCAUUUUUCAAGAAUUCAUACACUAGAAGCCUGUGACGCCCUUCACAGCAAAACCCCACCAAUCUCACCAAAUUCAAAUGGUGUGUACUACUAAUAGUUGCAACUUCCAUCCUGAAUUGCCUCUCACCUUGCUCAAUUCCCUCGAGUUGCUUCACUGCAACCACCAUUCUAUUAGCCAGUGUUCCUUUGUAAACAGCCCCAAAACCACCAUCUCCAAGCCUCUCUGAAAACCCCUUUGUAGACUGUUGCAGCUUCUUGUAUGAGAACUUCACUGGUGCACCAGAUGCAUAAUCAACAAGUUCGUAUUGAACUGACAUACGCCCGGAUUUAUUGCGAUUGCUGUAAAGCAAGCACCAAAAACCUAUCCCUACUACAACCAAAGCCAAAAGGCUGGCCAUAACCACAGAGACAAUGACCAUAGUAUGCAAGGAAUCAUUAUCCUUAGCGGACGCUUCCUGAUAAGGUGAUGGAUUUGGAAUAGCUUGUCCACAAACUUUUAUGAAAGAGGUACUUGGAAGAACCGCGCCCUGAUAGCCGCUAACGAAAUCAGGCGUUUUCAGGUAACAAAAUCCACUUCCAUCAGCUACUAAAGUAGAAGCAGUGCAAGUACUACUAGCAAGACAAUUGGUUCUACAAGCUACAAUUGCAAGAGUGACCAACUGAUCGGAAAGCUCAGGAGGAUAAGUUAGGAACAUGGUAUGUUCUAAUUGCAACAUGGUAACAUCUCCAGGACAAUCCUCAAUCUCCACUUUCCUUUUGCAUCCUUUUCUACCGUCAUGUUCAUUAACAGGCUCAAAGUUCUGAGAUGCACAUCCACAAACCGGUUUCGAAUCCUUGUAACUACAAAUUCCCAUGUUGCCGCAGAAUCCGUAAACCUGACACUGAUCAGUUACAGCUGCCCAUGUCUGGGUUAUAUUCCCACUCCCAUUGUUCCCAGUACUACUGCUGUAAAUUCUCAAAUUCCCAUCAUUAUCCAUCCUUAAAAACCUAAACACGUCGUUGCUUUCACCAUAGUCAGUAGUAAAAGCCAUGUUAAUCAUCCCCCUGGCAAACGAAGGAUCUAAACCUACCAAAAUCCCAUUAGACUGCAACAUAAACCUAGGUGAUGUCAAAUUCCCAUUGAUAGACGAGUUGAACCCUAAACUCCAGUAUUCAAUAGUGUCAUUCCAGUUCAAAGUAAGAUUAGCUGAUCUAUCAAGAGUCAAGGAGUAAGACCCAGAGCGUAAAAUCAUACCAACGGUGAAAUUCUGUGAAGGAACCAAGGUAUCAGUCGGGUUCUGGAACGAGGACCAUAUUGGAACACUUUCAUUAUUGAGGAGCUGAAAGUUGCCCAAAUCAUCAAGAGACGCAUGUGAAACACCUCUGCUAGCAGUAGCAGAGUCCCAAACAAUGGCACCGGAGCCAUUAGUUAAACGGAGGGCUCCAUUGGAAAGCAAAUUUAAAGUCCCACCAGAGUUGACAACAAGAGAAGCUCCAUCACCAGUGCCAUUGCUGCCAUCACUAGCUGACCAUACAAUAACAUCUCCAGCAUUGUAAGUGAUGGCAGCCACAAAAGAGGAAGGUGUAACAGGAAUGAAAGAAAGUGAGAAACUGGUAUUGGGUGACGACCAUGAUUGGUUUCUAUUUGAAGCUUGAAGAGUUGAGCCUAAAGGUAUGAGAGUGGAAGAAGAAGAAAUGGUGAAGAGGAAAUUGAGGUAGAGGAGAAAUAGAGAAAACUUUGACAUUUUCUUUUUCCUUCUUUUCCCGAGGUUUCUUUGCUUUGUUUUCCUGCCAUUAUGUCAGUCCAAUGUUUUGAAGGGUUACCAAAUGACAGCGACCUAUAAUCUGCCUCGCAUUAAAUAGCAUUUGUUGAGAAAGAAAUGAGUGAUAGACAAAAGUCAAAAAAACCGGUUUCUUAAACAAAAUUUUGGCUGUUAAAUUCUUCCAUUAGCCCCUCUACUUAGUAAAAGUUAUGGAUUUAAUUGCUAUACUUUAAUUUGGUCUUUUUCAAUCUUGAUAAUUGUUAAAUUCAUUCAUUUCAGUUUUUCUAUUUCUAAAAGUUGAUGAAGCUAACAUGUUAUUAUAUGUGUAAUAUUAUAUCAACUUAUUAUUUUCACGUAUUACUCAUUAAAAAUUUAGUUCAUAACCUAUACAAGGCUGCUCCUUUUAGGGUCAACAGACAUAAAUUUAACUUGUCAGUCAUGUAAUAUUUUAAUUUUACUAUUUUAGGUUUCAUUUAAAUUACGUAAAACCAAAAUUACAUUGUAAUUAUAUAAAAAUAUUUAUUUACUUUUUAAACAACUGCAUCAAAGGUAAAACCAAGGAACCCAAUAGACCUGUUUCCUAUAUCCGAUCCUAGCGCCCUGUGGUAUGACACCCAUUUAUAUGGAAACUGAAACGAGAACAAGAAACAAAAAAACAACGGUCUGUAGAGGAUAAGAUUUCAUUCCUGAAACAAUAUUAAAAUAAUAAUUUAUUACUCAAAUAACAUAGCUUCACUUUUAUUUAUCCCUAUGAUAUAUUUUAAAUAGUAAAAAAAAUUUUGAGUUUUGUGAAACCCAAAAAAGAUCGUAUCAACUUAAGGUGAAAACUUAAAAUUAUAAUUUUUUAAAAUAAAAAAUUAUUAUGAAAAAUUAAAACUCUUUAAAAUUUUAAAAAAAUUAGGGAUAAAAAGUAUUUACAAAAAAGAUAUUGUAAAUGUUUAAAAAUUUUAAAAAUCGAUUGACCCAUGAUUUAGUACAUACUGAUUGACCCAAGCUAAAAAACUAUAUGAAUUGACAGUUGAAUCGAUUUUUAUAAUUUAUUUACUUUAAACCGGUUAGGCCAAUCAUUUUGUGAACUGAUUGAUUAAACUAAUUUGAAAUUAGUUCAACUACCAAUUCAAUCGAUUUUUUAGUUUAGUUUGAUACCGACCAAUUUUUGGUCCAACUAAUCUAGUACGAUUCAAAUUAUUAUUUUUUAGAAUUUAUUUUUAAAUUUUAAAGAAUUUUAUUUUCAUAAUUUUUUUUAUUUUUAAAUUUUUUUUUACUUUUUAUUCUUUUUUAUACUUUUUUGGGUUUUCAAAUUUUGGCAUUUGAAAACCCAAUUUUUUUUUACUAUUUCAAACUUAUCAUUUGAAUAAAUAAAAAUAGCUCUAUAUUAUUUGAGCAAUAAAUUAUUUUUAAAAAAAACUUGCCAGUCGAUUAAUUUGUAUAAAAAACCUUGUCGGUUAAUUAAUUUGUAUGCUCAUCAUUUAUCAAUAUAUAUAUAUAGUCACGUUAAGUCAUGUGGAUUUUUUUUUUAAAACAAUUCAAAUUAUUUUAAAUUUUAGGUUUAAUUCGAAUUUUAAUCUUUGAAUUAUUUUUCAUUUUGCUUCUUUUGUUUUUUUUGGCCCACUUCAAUUACUAGGGUUAUUAUACGUUUUUAAUUUAGUCUCAAGCAUUAUUAGAUUUCUCAAUUUAAUCCUUUAAACGUUAAAAAAUAUAUCGAUUAGGAUAUCCAGCUAAUUAUAAAUUAUCACAUGGUAUAUGCUGAUACAAUGACGAUGUCAUCAUUUGAAAAAAGAACCUAAAAAUCUUUAAAAAUAAAAUAAAAUUAUAAAUUUAUAUAAACAAAAUUAUAUAUAUACUUGUUUAAAAUUUUUAAAAUAUGUUAGAACUUUUCAAAUAUGAUAAAAAAUUAUUAAAAAUAAUAAAAAUGAUUAGAAAUUGUAAAAUAUAAAAAAAUAUAAAAAAAUUAUUAUAAAUUGUAAAAAAUUAUUAAAAUUUUAAAAAAUGGUCAAAUUUGUUGUAUCUUAGAAUAAAUCACAUUUAAAAUAUAAAAAAUUUGAUAUAAAAAUAGUAUAUCAUAAUACCCAAAAAAAAUAUACCAAAAAAUAUUUUAAUAAUAAUUUAAUACAUUUUUAAAUUAUAUUUUUAAUAAUACCAAAAAAUAUUUUAAUAAUAAUUUAAUACAUUUUUAAAUUAUAUUUUUAAUAUUUUAAAAUACAUAAAUUUUUAGUAUUGUACUAGUGUUAUUGGUAACAUGUUUAUUUGGCUCAACUCCCCCUAUUCAAUGUCUGAAGUAAGUUUCAUUUGUAAUAGCCUGAUUUUUCAGUGGUGUCGAAAACAGUGAUUCGAGGCCACCAAAUCCGGCGAGUAAGUUCGUAAAGGUUUUGAAUUGGUAAUUUGUGUUUUAUAAUGAUUUAUUAGAUCAAGUAGUUUUAGAAAGUGAGGUAUCAGGACCUCGUUUCUAUAAACCGAGUCGUAAAUAUUUUUAUAAAUAUUAACAGAGUGUCAUUCAGGUGGUAUUAAAUUUUUGUUGAAAAGUUUUAACGUUUCGAUAGUUAAUUAAUUAAAAAGGACUAAAUUAAAAAAUGUGCAAAACUUGCUAAUUAUAAUAUUUAAGUGAUUAAAUGGCUUGAUGAAUAAAUGAGGGAGGACUUAAGAAAUAAAUAAACCAAAAUUAAAAGGUAAGGCGGCAUAUGAAGGAAAAAUAAUAAAAUAAAAUGAUUCAAUGGCAAAAUUGUAAUUUUGAUGAAAUUAAAAAUAAAACAAAUUGAAUUUAAAGGUUUUCUAGAUAUUUCUUCACCAAAUUUUAGCCAAAAACAACCAUAGUAAAGAGCUUAAGCUGGUUUUUCAUAUUUUUGCUUCAUGUGAGUUCAAUUCUUACUAGUUUUUUUUUAUAAUUUUUAUAUUUUUGAGAUUGUUACAAUUAAGUCCAACUAAACUAUACCUUUGUUUUUUAUUUUAUUAAAACUAUUGGAAGUUUCCAUUGAUAAAUAUUAGAUUUUUUUGAUUAAUAACAUGGAUUUAGAGUUUUGAUUUCAUUGUAUGAUGAUUUUAUAAAGUGAUUUUCGUUAAAUAUUGAUUUUAGGAUUAAAUUGUGAAAAUGUUAAAAUAUUAGAGUUUGAUAGUGAAUUUUGGAUUUAUUAGGGGUUGUAUGAAGGCCUAGAAUAUAUGGAUAAAUUAUUGAUUGAAAAAAUUAGUUAACUUGAUAGAUUAACUAAUUAAGGGAUUAAAUUGCAAAAAUUGUAAAAGUUGGGGUAAUUAUAUAAAUUUGAAAAUAAAAAGGGUAUUAAUUGUGAAAUGAAUUUAAAAUGAAAUAUAUGCUAAUAGAUGAAUAAUUUUAUAUUUUAGAUCAAGAUCCCGUAGAUACUCAUGAAAAAGGAAAAAUAGCAGAAUAGUUCCUGAACUUCUACAAUUAUUACAAUUCAAUCCAGGUAAGUUCGUACGGUUAAAAUUUAAUAUUUUUUAUAAAUUGAUUAAUGGUAUUAUUUAUUUAUUCUAUUGUUGGAAUUAUAAUAUUAAAUUGGAUUUCGGUUUGAAUGGAACACGAGAUUUGAGUACAUUCGUAUUUUGGUGUAUGAUGGUAUUGGAAGGAAACAACGACAUUUUUCCCAAGUAAACUGGGGUUUAGAAUUUGUUGCAAACUCUCAUGUUUUACUUUCUAUUCAGCUCUUACGAGCUUUUGUUUAGCUCUUACGAGCUUCUGUUGGCGUAUUCGGGAGGAUCAGCUCUUAUGAGGUUCUAUUAACGAUGUAUUCUUAUCUGUAAGUCGUUCUUUGAAUGAAAAAUUUUGGUAAGGUGAUUUAUUAAAUGAAUUUGAAAGACAUAUUAUUUAUUUUUAUAUUGGAUUGAAUAUGGAUGUAUUUAUCAAUAGAAGUUGUGAAUGACAGGAAAUUGACAGUGAAUGACAGGGAAUUGACAUGAAUGAUUUUAUUUAUUUGACUUGUUAUAGUAGGUUCGGUAAGAUUUUGUUUAACCAGUCGAACUUACUAAGCUUCAUUAAGCUUAUAUAUGUUGUUUAAUAUCUUUGUAGAUUUUCGGAAAGUUGGACGAUCGGAUCAACACUCAAGUCAAACUAUCCAGCUUAUCUCAGUAGUUUUUAAAACAUUAAAUACGAUUUAUAUGACAUGUAUAGGCUUUUGUUCAAUUUUGGUCAAAAUUUAGCUUAUGUAAAUAUCAUGAAUAAUAUUUUGUUUAUAUAACAACUUACAUAUUGGCAUGAAAUUAAGGUAUAUAGAUUGUGAUGUUAGUAUAAGUGAUAUAUGUAUGUAUGUAAUUGAGUUAUAGUGAACUUUGGUAACUUAGUUAGAUAAAUUAGAUAGGUAAGUUUGGAUAUUGGUGGACAUAUUUUUAAAUUGUCAUUAGAGGUACCUAUGGGUAUAUUAGUUGUAUGUGAUAAAAAUAUAUGUUUAAGACUUGAUUUUAGCUUGUGUUGAAUGCCUUGUCAUGGCUUGUUAAUGUGUAAAUUGUUAAGGCUAGGUUGGCAUUAAUUUGGCUGAAAAUAUGGCUUAAAAAUGACCUAUUUUCAUCUACAUAGGUAGAGACACAGGCAUGUGUCUCAGCCGUGUGUGACACACGGCUAGGUGAUAUGGCCGUGUGUCCCCUGUAUCUUUUAGGAAUGCAAGUCAGUAUGCUCACAAGGGAUAGCACACGGGCAUGUGACUUGGCCGUGUGACCUUAGUCAAAGAGUUACGAAUGCCCACACGGCCUGAGGCACGGGCGUGUCUCUUGACGGUGUGAGUCACACAGCCGUGUGACCCCUGUAGUAUUGAAAAUUUUAAACAAUUUUGAAAAAUUCUCUGAGUUUUUGAUUUAGUCCCGACUUGUUUCUAAUAUGUAUUUCGGGUCUUGAGGACUCGUUCAAUGGACAAUAUAUAUGAUUUUGAUUAGUUUUAUUAUGAGUAUUGAUAUGUAAUGAAAUGUUUGAAAUUUUUGUCUGAUUGAUCCGUAAACUCCGAUAAUGCUCUGUAACCCUAUUUCGGCGACGGAUAUAGGUUAGGGGUGUUACAUCAUUCAUCCAUCAUCAUGCACAUGCACCUUCUUUAUUUUGUACUAAAGUUCUUUAGAAUAGUCAAACACUAUACAAUAGUUCUUCAGAUAUACCAAUUAUAAAUUCAUAUUGAUUUAUAAAACAAUUAUUAUAAGUGGUAUCCUUUCAAGAAAAUGAUCUCAUGUUCAAGCUCUAGUAAAUGUGAUUUAUAAAAUUUUAAAAAAUAUUAAAAUUUCUAAUACAUUUUUUUUAAAAAUUAGUAGUUUAUAUAUAUUACAAUUUUAUAAAUUUUCUAUUUUUUUAAUAAUUUUUUAAAAUUUUAAAUAUUUUUUUGUAAAUUUUAAUAUUUUUAUUUUUGAAAAGAUUUUAAGGUUUUUUCGGAUAGUGACAUCAUUAUGAUGUGUUACAUCCCAAAAAUGGGAUUAGUAGAAUUAGGUUUUAUGACACCGAGAGUGGUUACGUCUCGAUUUAUAAGGUUCUCAUUGUGCAUUUGUUAAACAAGGAAGUUAUUGGCCUAAUGGUUAAAUGUUAGUGAAUUUGUCAUUAAAACCUAGGUUCAAAUCCCUUCCCUCGCAUCAGGCGCGAAGCUUAAUGGUAAAGAGUUAAAGAAUCUAUACUAAGGUCCCAGGCUCAAUAGUUAAACGUUAGUAUCCCUUCCUGGAGGUCCAAGAUUCGAAUCUCUCCCCUCUCAUCAUUUUCAAUUUUUCGGCAAACCUCUAAUUCUAACCCUAAUUGACCCUUUGUUUCUAAUUUGGGUUAAUUGUAUGUGCCAACCCUAGGGUUUACAAACCCUAAGAAUUUAACCAAUUCUUUCCUAAUUAGAAUUCAUAUCUUACCCUCCCUUAAAAUUCAAAUAGAAUUAGAAUUCCACAAUAUUUUUCUCUUCAUUUCCUAAUUAGAUUUUCAUAUUACCCCUUUUCAAAUCCUAAUAGAAUUUGAUGUCUAUCUUUCUAUUUCUUUUCUAUUUCUUUUCUUUACCUUUUCUUUAUACCAUAUUUUCAUCUUAUUGUUGUUAAUUAAUUUUCUUUCCGCUACCCAAUCAUUCCCUCAUUCGUUGAUUUCUACCAAUAUUUAGAUUGUCGUUAAUAAGCUUCUGUUAUCUUUGCCAAAGAUUAGUAAGUGCAUUCUUUCAAUGAUUAAAUCUUGAAUUACCGUGUUAAUCUUUCAAUUCAAUUAAUCAAUUUCUUUGGAUCUUGCCAAAUCCUUGAUGAUCUUGCCAAAUCUUGAUACCAAUCAUUAAUUGUGUAUAUUAGUCAUUGAAGGACAGGAUCUAGGUGAAUCAGAUCAAAAUCAAUCGUAAGGAAUGUCAAUCAGAACCAUGGUGAAAGGUGUGUGUUCUUUACUAAUUGAAUCGAGGCAAACUGGGUGUAGGUUUAGGGCCACAUGGUUUCUCACACGUCCACCACACGGUUAUGUGCUACUGUUUUGUUAGGGUGUUUCGUUUUAUACAUGACCAAGAACCUUCCACACAGCCUGUCAUACGACCGUGUCUCCCCUGUAGGAUAAUUUUAAAUUUUACCACUCGGCCACAAUCUGUUACACGGCUUGGCCACACGGUCGUGUGACCUCUAUUUUACAGUUUUACUCAGAAAUUUGUGAAUUAUUCUGCUUAUUCCUUGUAUAGUCCCCAUAUUAUUUUAGAGUUUUAUUUCACGCAAAUGAAUCCUUGAUAAUAUGUGUAUUGGAACCCAUGAUCCGAGUGACUGAAUUAUUAUUGUCAUAUGCAUAAUAUGUGAACAAUACAUACUUGUUGUCUCUGUAUUACUAAUUGUAUGUUUAGCAUGCCUUUUGAUAUCGUUAAAUUGAAUACCUGAUAAGCAUGACUUUUUCUACUGUAUUGAUUCGUUAUACGCAUGUUUAUUGCUACCAUAUUGAUCUAUUAUAAGCAUAUCAUAUUGCAUUACAUGGGGACAGAGGAAGUAUGAGCAGUUUAUUUGCACCAAUGAGUGGUUUAUCCACAACGUACUAGCAACUUGUCUACGAAAACUUUUUAUAAAAAACCUUGGUGGUUCAUCCACAAUUUUUUUUAUGAGCAGUUUAUCUUCAAUGAUGAGUGGUUUAUCUCCAACGAUGAGUGGUUUUAUCCACAACGUGGUGCAAAGAUGGAGGAGUUCUAGGAACUCCUACUGUGGUGUGUAGUUAUGUAACACCCUAACCUGUCUCUAUCGUCGAAUUAGGGUUACAGAGUAUUACGACAAUGGUCAAAUCAAACAACAACAUAAAACUAUUCAAUCAUUAUUUUCAAUAUCAAAUAUUCAAAACCAAUCAUCAUUCAUAGCAUAUAUACAAUUAUGGGCCUUACAUUAAGCCUACGGAUCCUAAAAAUUGAUUUAUAAAUAAUCAGGGACUAAUUUGAAACAAAAUAGAAAAUUGUAAAAAAAAUUGAAAACAGGGGUCACAUGAUCGUGUGGCCAGGCCGUUUGAAAAAACUUAGAUUGUGUGGCUUAAGAACAAAGCUGUGUAGCCUAGUUGUAGUAGCUCGUUUUUAGUUAUGCUAUAAAUAAUGGUUUCGGGACCACAGUUCUGACAAGUGAGUCAGCAGUUUAUUAUUUAUAGAGUUAUUACAAGUUUGUAUUAAAAUUUGGUUAGAAAAUAUUAACAUUUAGAUAGUUAAUUAAGUAAAAAGGACUAAAUUGUAAAAGUUAAAAAAGUUAGUUUCAAUUUGUUAAAGGCGCUAAAUGGCUAUUGAAAUGUGAGUUGAUGGAUUUAUAUAGUAAAUAAACCAUAUAGAUAGAUAAUGGACAAUUAUGGACAAUGUUUUGUUAUUGGUUAAGUAAGAUUUUUUAAGGGUAAAAAGGUAAUUAGAUAAAUAAAACUAAAACAAAUUAAACCAAAAAGGAAGUUGCCACCAUCCUUACCCGUUUCUAGUGAUUUUUAUGUUUUUGUAAUUGUUGUAGUGUAACACCCCCUAACCCCAAACCGUCGCCAAAAUAGGGUUACGAGGCAUUACCGGACCUAUCAGACAACUUACGAAUAAUUCACAAUUAAAAUAACAUUCAUAGUAUAAUUUAAUAAUUAAAUCCCUAUAAUGGACUUUCGAAGCCCAAAACAUGUAUUAAAAGUAUAACGGAAUUUGUUCGAAUAUUCUGAAAAAUUUUUCGUAAUAAAUUUUUUUUUAAAAUUUCGAUAGUAUUUCUGCUUAUUUUUACAUAAAACCCCCUGCAAACUUAAAACAAAAAACAAACCAAUACCAAGAUUUCAAUCAAAGAUUUUAUACCUUAGAACGCUACUAAAUCAUGCUUAAUAAAUUGAUUUACUACUUUAAUUAUAAAGAUUAAAGUUAACAUGUAAAAAAAAACUAAUUCAUAUCUUUCAUUCCAUUUCAAGAUUUAAUACUAAGUUUACUAAUUUAUAAUUUUAAACUUUAUUUAUCAUCCAAAAGAUCAUAACCAUUUACUUACAACCAAGAUCAUUUAGCAUAUAUAUUUACAUAUAUAUAUACGACUCGUGUACAAUCACCUAGUGUCACGGACUUAGAGUUUUCUCACGGAUCCGUGCGGCCUUAGGCAGUUUCUUUGCUCAAAAACGCCUAAGUCAGCCUAACUUGCAGUAAUAAAGGAUUCAACAGUAAAAAUGCCUAAGUCAGCUUAACUCGCAACAAUAAAGGAUUCAACAGAAUUCCCUUAAGGUUUCCACGAAGAACAGCAGAAGAACGAAGUAAGAACGACCCUUGAAAGAUGAACAAAAAGCAAGAACACUUAAGAGAAAAGUUUGUGAAUACUCUCAAAAUUCUUAUUAACAACUGAAUGAAUUACAAUGAGGAGAGAGUCCUCUAUUUAUAGUUGAGGCUCUCCAAAAUCAACGGUCUAAAUCAAAAUACAUCAAUGGCUACAAUUAAAAGCAAUCACAAUAUCAAAUCUCUAAGAUUACAUAAUCGUAUCUUCUAAAGAUUUCAUUUAAUAUCUAGGAUCACAUAUCUCAAAAGAUUACCUUCCAUAUUUUCCAAGCAUAUCUUCAAAAGAUUACUUUCCUUAUUUGCCAAGCUCCGGAGAUGGGCUUUUAAUUCCUCCAAGCAAUGGACCAGUCUAGUUGGGCCAAAUGACCUCCCUCGAAUGGGAUGGAUCGCACGAAUCCGUCAUGGUUGCGAGAUCCCAUGCGCAACCCAUGACAUUCUCCCCCACUUGUUCUAACGACGCCCUCGUCGCAUCCUCCUCAUGGAACUGGUCAAUUUUUCCUUGGAACUGGCACAAUGCCUCGGCAGGUUCUCAACUUGCUUCGCUAUCAGGAAGUCCCUUCCAUCGAACUAAGUAUUCAUGACGCGGUCGAUGGUACUUUUGUCUAAUCACACGGUCUGCCUCAAUGGUUUCCACGUCGCGGUCAUAAGAGACCUUUACCCCCAUUGGUGCUCGUUCAGACUUGCCCCGAUUCAGAUCUUCUUGGUCCCAAUGAAAUGGCUUAAGCAUACUUACAUGGAACACUGGGUGGAUUUUAAGUUUUGGAGGUAACUCAAGCUUGUAUGCCACUUUGCCCACUCUCUUAACAACUUUAAAUGGCCCCUCAUACCUUCGCACGAGCCCUUUGUGCAAGCCCGUAUAUCGCAACAUCAAGUGUAGUUUGGCAAGGACUGAGUCACCCACUUGAAAUUGCACGUCUCUUCGGUUUUGAUCGGCCCACUUCUUAUUGCGCUUGCUUGCCUUGUGUAAACAAGCCCUAGCCAAGUCAUUCUUCUCUUGCUAAUCCUUCGCAAAACGAUAAGCUACCGGAUUUGGUCCUGUAUAACGAGUUACCACAGCAUUGGGUGUGAGUGGCUGUUGGCCCGUCACUAUCUCAAAUGGACUUUGGUUCGUUGCCCCACUUCGCUGCAAGUUAUAUGAGAAUUGAGCCACAUCCAAUAAAUUUGGCCAAUCCCUUUGUGUGGCACUCACAUAGUGUCGUAGAUAUGUUUCUAACAAUGCAUUUACUCUCUCAGUUUGCCCAUCGGUUUGCGGAUGCAUACUCGUGGAAAAGUUCAAGUCUGAGUCCAUUGACUUGAACAACUCGGUCCAGAAUCGACCUGUGAAUCGCCCAUCUUGAUCACUGACAAUCGACUGUGGCACGCCCCAAUAUUUUACCACAUCUCUAAGGAAUAAACGAGCUGCCUCCUCAGUAGGACAUUCCUUGGUGGCCGGAAUGAACGUCGCAUACUUCGAGAACCUGUCCACCACAACAAGAAUACUCGCAAACCCGUCAGAAUUAGGUAAACCAACAAUAAAAUCCAUGAAUAAACUCUCCCAUGGUCUUUCCGGAAUGGGUAGGGGUUGAAGCAAACCGGCUGGGGUCUUUAACUCAACCUUGUCUUGUUGGCAAACCAGACAAGUCUUCACAUAAGUUUCCACAUCAUCACCCAUGUGAGGCCAAUAAUAACGUUCCUCCAAAAGGGCCAAAGUAUGGUGCAUCCCUGGGUGGCCCGCCCAUCUCGAGUCAUGGCACUCUUUCAUGACUUCCUUACGUAGCUUCCCAUAAUAAGGCACAUAGAGGCAACGCCCUUGGGUGUAUAGCAUCUCUCCAUCAAGCCAAAAUAUUCUCGUUUUUCCUUCCUUGGCCAACUCCGUCAAAUUUUUGGCUGUAGGAUCAUGGGACAAUCCUUCUCGAAUACAUUCCAACAAGGAACCAUCAGGUUGGCUAAUUGCCGCAAAUUCCAUCUUUCGACUUAGUGCGUCGGCCACAAUGUUGGCACUCCUCGGCUUAUACUCCAUGGUAAAGUCAAAUUCAGCUAAGAAGACCUGCCAACGAGCCUGUUUGGGAGACAACUUUUUCUGGGUUAGAAAAUAACUGUUGGCAACAUUAUCAGUAAGGACAACGAACCUAGAACCCAAUAAAUAAUGCCUCCAAGUGCGCAAGCAAUGUACCACCGCAGUCAUCUCCUUCUCUUGGACCGUAUAUCUUCGCUCUGUCUCAUUAAGCUUUCGACUCUCGAAAGCAAUAGGAUAUCCAUCUUGCGUUAGGACUCCCUCGAUAGCAUAAUCUGAUGCAUCUAUGUGUACCUCAUAUGGCCUCGAAAAAUCUGGCAAGGCAAGCACAGGUUCCUUCGUCAUCUCUUGCUUCAAUUGAUUAAAGGCCCUCUCACAUUCUGGAUUCCAAUCCCAUACCUUCCCUUUUUUCAACAUGUCCGUCAAGGGUGUGGUAAUUCUCGAGUACCCUUUAAUAAAGCGUCGAUAGUAAUUUGCCAACCCAAGAAAAGAUCUCAACUCUGUCACCUUGGUUGGGGGCUCCCACUCGAAAAUGGCUCGAACUUUGCUCUUAUCCAUUCGGAUCUUACCCCCUCCCACAAUGUGGCCUAAGAAUGACACCUCUUGUUGGGCAAAUGAGCACUUCUCCUCCUUAACAAACAACUCAUUUUCCCUCAAAGUUUGGAACACCUCCCUCAAGUGUUCCACGUGCUCCUCGAGAUAUUUGCUAUACACCACAAUAUCAUCAAGAUAAACAACCACAAAACGAUCAAGGAAAGGUUGAAGUACCUUAUUCGUUAGGGUGCAGAAGGUAGCUGGGGCAUUCGUGAGUCCAAAAGGCAUCACAAGGAACUCGUAUGAACCAUAUCGUGUCACACAAGUUGUCUUUGGUUCAUCCCCCUCGGCUAUCCGAACUUGAUGGUACCCCGAUCUCAAAUCCAACUUGGUAAACCAUCUUGCACUACCAAGUUGGUCGAACAAAUCUGCAAUAAGAGGAAUAGGGUACUUGUUCUUUACAGUGACCUUGUUUAGAGCCCGAUAAUCAAUACACAUUCUCAAGGACCCAUCAUAUUUCUUUUGAAACAACACUGGCGCACCGUAUGGGGAUUUAGAUGGUCUAAUAAAUCCUACAUCCAAUAGCUCCUUCAGUUGUUUUCGCAAUUCUUCUAACUCUGGCGGAGCCAUACGAUAGGGGGCCCUUGUUGGCGGCACCACGUUGGACACUAACUCAAUUUUGUGGUCCACCUCCCUCUUUGGUGGCAAACUUUUUGGCAACUGAGCAGGCAUCACAUCCCAAAAGCACUACAAUAAUUGGCUCACUUCUUUCGGGAUUUCACUAACGGACUAAACGGUAUCCUCGAUCUUCAAGGUAGCCAAAUAAGAGACUUUAUCCCUGCGUACUCCUUUAGAAAAUUGAAUUGCUGACAGUGUUUUUCCCUCUAAGCUUCUCUUCCUUGUCAUUCUUACCAUGCAUGGAUGGUUCGAACCCGCAAUCACCAUGUAAUCACUCGAAGUGGCAAUAAGUGCCUUAACCUGAUCAAGAAAACUUAGUCCAACCACACAAUCAUAGUCAUCGAGUGGUAUUACCUUAAUGGAUACCUUGCCGGCCCAAUCACCCAGUUGAAGAUCCACUCCCUUGGCAAUACCCUUAAUUGGGACACUUUCUGAGUUCACUGUUUUGAUCCGACCCAGCUCAUUCUCUAUCUUGAGCCCAAGUUUCUGAACUGCCUCUUCGGACAUGAACAAAUCAGACGCCUCAGUGUCGACCAGCGCAUUCAAUUUUCUGCCGGCCACAAUAAUGUCCACAAACAUCAAUCCAUGAUUCGUUCUAUCUUCAACACCCCCUAGUAUCAAACCGAGAUUGUUGUCAUCCACAUCUGACUCCCCUUUUGUUUCCAUAGCCGUGAGAGCGGCCUUCUUUGGGCAGUCCCUGAUCAUAUGUGGACCAUCGCAGUGAAAGCAACUUAUAGGCCCACUCUUUCUCUUGUCCCAAAGUUUCUUACCGUUGCCAUUCCUAGCGGGCCUUUCUUUAUCUCCCCCACUAUUACCCUUUUGAUUGAAUCUGGGUUUAGAAGAAUUCACAUUGUCUUUCUUCCCACCAAAUUCAGCAAGCGAUUCUGCCAAAGACAUCGCCUUGGUAAGCUCUUGGGUUCCUCGGCGUUGCAACUCUUGCUUUGCCCACGGUUUCAACCCAUCCAUGAAGGAAAAGAAUGCUUCUUUCUCACCCAUAUCUGAGAUUUGAAGCAUAAGUUCGGUAAAUUCCUGUACAUACUCUCUCACAGUGCCUUGUUGCGUAAGCCGGUGCAACUUUGCCCAAGCCUCAUCCUCGGCAUACUUUGAGUAAAACUGUGCUUUAAACUCACGUCGAAACUCCUCCCAAGUUCCAAUUUCAGUCCCACCACGACUCACAUCAGUGGACCUACGACGCCACCACAACAAAGCAACGUCAGUGAGAUACAUAACAGCAGUAGUUACCUUAGUGGCAUCCUCCGUAAUGCCUUUGGCACGAAAGUAUUGCUCGAUUCCCCAAAGGAAGUUGUCCACAUCUCUAGCAGACCUUAUUCCCUUGAACUCCUUUGGCUUGGGAACAUCAACACUGGGCUUGGGUGCUACAGCAGCUAACUCUCCAUUGCCCAAAGCAACCUUGUAGAAUGUGAGUUCACCCUUGAGCUCCGCAAUCUCCUCUUUCAAGGCUGUUACCAUAGCCUCAAUGACAUCAUCUCUGCCAUUCAGUUUUUCAACAUUAUCCAACACAUACUCUUUGAGUUGCUCCUGCAUGGACUGCAACCCACCAUGGAGCCUAUCAUCGACAUCAUCAAUCCUCUCCUUGAUGUCUCCCACGAAAUCCUCGAGAGUGAUGACUCGAUCCUCCAAAGCUGACAGUAUGUCUCUCGAACGACUAGCUUUCCUAGCCCUCCCACGGGUCUCCAUUCUCUCAACAUUCUCAGCAGCUUCUUUGGACAUCUUUCAGUGGUACCUACAAACACUGGCUCGGAUACCAACUGUCACGGACUUAGAGUUUUCUCACAGAUCCGUGCGGCCUUAGGUAGUUUCUUUGCUCAAAAACGCCUAAGUCAGCCUAACUUGCAGUAAUAAAGGAUUCAACAGUAAAAACGCCUAAGCCAGCUUAACUCGCAACAAUAAAGGAUUCAACAGAAUUCCCUUAAGGUUUCCACGAAGAACGGCAGAAGAACGAAGUAAGAACGACCCUUGAAAGAUGAACAAAAAGCAAGAACACUUAAGAGAAAAGUUUGAGUGAAUACUCUCAAAAUUCUUAUUAACAACUGAAUGAAUUACAAUGAUGAGAGAGUCCUCUAUUUAUAGUUGAGGCUCUCCAAAAUCAAUGGUCUAAAUCAAAAUACAUCAAUGGCUACAAUUAAAAGCAAUCACAAUAUCAAAUCUCUAAGAUUACAUAAUCGUAUCUUCUAAAGAUUUCAUUUAAUAUCUAGGAUCACAUAUCUCAAAAGAUCACCUUCGAUAUUUGCCAAGCAUAUCUUAAAAAGAUUACUUUCCUUAUUUGCCAAGCUCCGGAGAUGGGCUUUUAAUUCCUCCAAGCAAUGGACCAUUCCAGUUGGGCCAAAUGACCUCCCUCGAAUGCGAUGGAUCGCAAGAAUCCGUCAUGGUUGCGAGAUCCCAUGUGCAACCCAUGACACUAGUACAUGCCACUUAAACAAAAGGAAGAAAUACAUCACCAAAAUUUUUUUGUUGGAGUCGAGAUCUUUCUGGAUGCUGAACUGGACCUUGAACUCUAAUAACCUGUGUACGGAAACAACCGUACGCUGAGUAUUUCAUACUCAGUGAUAUUACUAUAAAUUAAACUAUUUAAUAUUAAAAAUUACAAACAUCAACCAUAAGCCUUUAAAAAAAUCAUUUAAACUAAUUAUACAUAAUUAUAAAUCACUUCAUAAAUCUUAAAUUCAUAUAUAUAUAUAUUUCAUAUACUAAUUCAAUUCAUAAUUUAAUUCAUACAUUCUUUCUCGUACUUUUCAAUAGUGCCAAAUCAAUCAAUCUCAUUUUCAAAUUUUCAUUUCCAUUAUUUACCCUAUUAACAAGGCUUAGACUCUAACAAAUACAUGGAUUCCACCCAAAUACACCAGAAGAUCCAACCUAACACACCCGAUCUAGUCUGAACUACAAAUCUCCUCAUCAUAUCACAAAUCCUAUGGCAUGUCAUUUGUAUCCAAUCUAGUCCGAUAAGUUAAUAGGGUAUUAUUUUACUUUUCCAAUUUCAAAUUCAUUUCCACAACAAUUUCAAAUAUUCAAUCAAAUCAAAACAUCUAUUAUUUCAAUUCACAUAUAAUUCAAUAUUCACACAUAUUCUUACUUAAUUUCAAAUGUUAUUACUUACCUUAAUUUAAAUAUCCCAUGAUUACAAUUUCAAUAUAGCAUUUAGUAAAUAGUUUAAGUUAUAGUAAUACAAACCUAGAAUACGCGUUUACUCCUCAACAAUCUUUUCUUUUCCUUUGGAUGCCGAUGCCUCAUUUUCCUUGUUAGCUAUUUAAAUUAUAAUUAAUUUCACUAUUAUUUACAACAUUAAAUUAUAAAAAUAAAAAUAAUAAUUAAAUUUUAUUCAAUUCCUACUUAUUCCCAAUUUAAUUCUAACUAAGCUUACUUACUUUUCUAGCUUAAUUCAUACUUCUUUUCUACUUAAUUUCUUGCCAUAUUUAACUCAACUAUUCAAUAUUCAUAAUUAAACCCUAAUUUAAGAUUUCUUAUAACUUAAUCCCAACUAUGUAAAACUUAUAGCUCACUUUACAAUUUGAUCCUUUAAUCAAUUCUAACUAAAAUUUCUAUCAAUUAAACCCCUAAUUUAACAACUUGUUCAACAUGAAUCAUGUUCAAAAACCUAUGAACUUCCAUAACCUCCACUUAAUUUCAACAAAACUUUGUUUUAAAGCUUCUAAAACAUCAAAAUUAAGAGAAAAUGGCUAAAUUUAGCUUACCAAUUAAACUUGAAGCUUUAAAAUCCCAAUUUUCCCUUUUCUUUUCUUUCCCUUUUUCUUCCCCUGUUUUCGUUUUGUUCUCUGUUUCUUUUCUGUUCUUUUGUUUCUUUUUCUUUUUAUUUACUUACUUUACUUUAUUUUAUUUGCUUUAUUAUUAUUUUUAAUUACUAAAUAAUUAAUAUAAUAUCAAUAUAAAAUAUCUUAAGCUUAAAUAUUAAGUGAACCAAUUGUUUAAUAACAUUUGUACAUAUUUAUUUUAUUACACUUGUAUAAAUUUUAUACCAUUUAUUUGUCAAUUAUCUUAUUUAUUUAAUAAAAAUCUAUUUAAUAAUUUAAUAUAAUUAUUACAAAUGUAUAUACUUUUAUCAAUACAUUUGUAUUAAAUCACUACCAUACAUUUGUCUUUGUUUAACUUAUUUCAUAAUAUUAUAAUAAUAAUAAUAAUAAUAAUAACAAUUAAUAUAAUUUAUUAUUUCAUAUUAAACUGAUUAUUAAUGAAAUUUUAGUAGAAAAUAUCACAUAAAAAUUUUCAAUCUUACCCAGCUUAUGCUGCCUCAUACUUAUGAAUUGGCUUAAUUGCCAUUUUGAUCCUUUAUACUUUCUUUUAAUCUAUAAUUAAACUUUUACCCUUUACUCUAUUUAGUCCUUUGUCCUAAUUAUUCUUAAUUAGACUAAAUUCACCUAAUUAAUACCUAAUUAAGCACUCAACUAAACUCAUAAUUACUUCUAAUAAUUAUUUAUGACUCAGUUUACUAAGAUGGAGGCCCGAUAAUGUACUUUUCCUAUGCUCGUGAAUUUUGGGUCAUUACAUGUAGCUUAAUGUAGCUAACCGAGAGUUAAUUUGUAAAACUAUUAAAAGCUUAAGGACUUACCAUGAAUGAUUAUAUGUGUUUGUGAACUUAGUUGAUAGAUUCAAGAGAUUGAUAGCUAAAUAGGAUUAUUUUGUAAAGUGACUUUUAGUACAUUAAAUUAGUAAAAUUUCAUGAAAUUCUUGUGAAAAAUUAAUGAAUAUGAGCUAAAUAGGGACUAUAUAGAAAUCAACUAGCUUGAGUUUUGCUUAAAUAUGGUUAAUUUGUAAGUUUCGGGUUUAGGGACUAAAUUGCAUAAAGAGUAAAAUAUUAGGGGUAAUUUUACAAAUCUAUAUUGAAAUAGUUAUAAGCUUAAGUUUAAUUAUUUGAGAUGUUGGAAUCUGUAACACCCUUUACCCGGUCCGGUCAUCGGACCUGAGCAAUAAGGUGUUACAAGUAAUUACCAUACAAAUACAAAUAAUUUACAAUUUAAAAGAAGUAAAUAAUUACUAAAUAAUUACAUAUGGGCAUGCAUAUGAUCAUUUUUUUAUUUAAUUCAAAUAAAUAUUGAGUAUAAGGAAACUUAAAAACAAUUCAGAAAAGAUCAGGGAUUGAUUUGAAACAAAAUGAGAAGUUGGGAAAAAUCUAAAAACAGGGGACACACGGUCGUGUCCCCAGAUCAUGUGGAAACGUCUAGCCUGUGUGAGUUUGGACACAUGGUCAUGUGUGUGAGUCACACGAAUGUGUCAAUAGUUUACACGACCAUAUAGGCAGAUCGUGUAACUUAUUGACCCCGUGUGCAAUAAAACCAUUAAAAUUUAUAGACCACAUGUUUGUGCCGCCAGCCCGUGUGUGGCACACGGCCGUGUGCCAGACCGUGUGCACCUAGAAAAUUUUGUUCUAAAACAUGUAAGUUAUCCAUGUGACACUUAUACCACAAGCUACCAUUUACAUCAACUUUAACACAUUCAAAAACAUUUAAUUUAAACUCAAAACAUUAUUGGAACAAUCAUCUUAAGAGUCUAACCAAUAUACCACAAUUGGCACCUCAAAAGCACAAUUUAAAAACUAACUAAAUGAUCACAUUCAUUCAUGUCAAUAUACCCUCAUUAAUUUCUCAAGAAUUCAUUCUACACACGUAUACAUUCAACUAUCAUAUAUUUAAGUAUCAAACCAGGACAACCUAUCAAAAUACCAAUCACAACUAUUAUCAUCACUCAAAAUGCAUACUUACAUAAUCUCAAAAAGACUAACUAAAUAUAAAAUGACCAUUUAAAACAUUAAACAUCCUAGGUACAUGCCAAGACCGAAAAGAACCAUUCACCAACAUUGAGUUCAAGAUUUGCCACUGUAUGCUGAGUCGACAAUCGGAUCAAUGAAUACCUAACCUGAGCACACAAUAGAAAAUAAAUCAUACGAUAAGUAAAACCUCAUGGCAUUUUUAUAGUUUGGAUAUUUAAACAUAUUACGAAAUAGCCAAGUACGCAAUUUAAAUACCAUAAGAAAUAUGCAAAGAAACAUGUAGCUUUCAUAUUUUCAGAACUACAUUCAUCAAAUCUCUCUAGAGUUUCUAAUAUGAAGCAUCUCACUUUAUUUUCUUUACUCAAUAAAAAUAACCACAUAUAUAUCUUAUUUCAUUCUAACUUUAGUAUCGUUCAUUAUUCAGUGUUAAUUUCGAUUCCCAUUUCUUAUCUUCAUUUUCCUUGUUAACGUGAUUCGAACUUGGACGUCUACGCGAAUCCAACCAUCACACCAAAUUUGGCACUCAGUGCUUGACGGAUAAAUUCGUAAAUAAUGAAAUGCGCCUUGCGCUAGCCACUAAAACCGACAAAUGAGUGUGUCAGCACUGGUCGGUAUAACCGAAAAAUAAAUAUGCCCUGUGCUAGUUAAUAAAACUGAAAAAUGAGUGUGCCCAGAACUGGUCGGUAUAACCAAAAAGUAAAUGCGCCUUGCGUUGGUCGGUAAAACAUACAAAUGAGUGUGCCUAGCACUGGCCGGUAUAACCGAAAAAUAAAUGAACCCUGCGCUGGCCAGUGAAACCAACAAAUGAGUGUUCAUUCAUUUCAAAACCAAUGUUUCAAUUUCAUUUUAACAUUUCACCAAUUUGUUCCAAAGACUAACUCUCUUAAUAUACUCACCAAACAAAGUAAUAUAUAUAUAUAAGAACAAUAAUUGAAAUAGUUGGGUUAUAGAAACACCAACCUUUGAACAUUAUAACUGAACAUACAUACAACAUAGUUUAUAACAUUCACCCACUUUAUAAUUUCUGACUACAGUAUCGAUGGACACGCGAAUAACACUAAUAUUGUAAGAAUCGAAUAGUGUUAAAACAACAAUAUUUGAACAACCUUGAAUUACACUCGUUUAUUGAUACGAGAUCAAAGGCCUGACAAAUGCGUUCCAAACUAAAUGGGACCAUUCAGGAGUUUGUUACCAAGGCCUUAGAUGCAUACACGAAAGAACGGGAAAAUCAAGAUUUCAAAUCUUGGGAAUCUUGGUCCAAGAAACCAAAUCUUGCAGCCAAAGCGCAUUGGAUCUCCGUUACGAGCAUCAACGAUUCAAUUUUGGUAGGAGAUGGAUCACAAUCCCAAAUUCUUGAAGUCAAGGCCCAAUAAAAAGAUUCCAAGCCCAAUCAAGAAAUCCACCCAUACUUAGUCGAAAAUCAGGCCAAAUUGUCAAAGUGGCCCAAGUUGUAAAGUUUUAUAUUUAUUUACUUAUUUAUUUUACUUAGUUUAAAUUUUUAUGUAAAUAUCCAGCUCAAGAGUCCCAAAUAAAGACCCUUGGCCGAAUUUCCAUAUUAAAAUAAUUAGGAGUUUUUUUAUUUUAGUUUUCUAAUUAGAUUAGGAAAACACUUGAGAGGCCUAUAUAAAGGCUUGGCCGGCCACCUUGUUAUUCACUUCUCAAUUAUAUCAAAAAUUUCAGAUUUGUUUAAGUGCAGAAUUCUCUUUGAGUUUUUCUCCAAGAAUUCUCUCUUGGGUUUUCUUUAAAAGUUGUUUUAACAAUCUUUUGAUUGUGGGAGCCAUCUUCAGCCUUCUUCUUGCCAUUGAUAUUCUUGGAGGGGAGAUUAGAGCCGUUUGAAGGGAGUUGUGAGAUCUUUCGGGAUUUCAAGGCUUCUCAGGACUUAUCUUUUAAUUUCUUGCUGUCAAUUCUUUCUUUAUUUCUGCUUGUGCCGAAUCUUUAUCUAAUUUAUUUGCUGUUCUUAUUGUGUUUCCAGCCUUUUUUCUAUCUUAAAGAAUCAGCCAAAAAUCCCCAAUUUCUAGGGUUCUUGUCGAUUCAUCCUUACUCUUUUUGGGUGAAAUUAGAUUGCCGAAAUUUGGGGAAAACUAUCUUGGUGUUCAAUUGGGCAGAAUCGCAAUCUCCUUUAGGGUUUCAAGAACCCUUAUUAACACUUAUUUCUAUUCUCAAUUUGAUUCUUUGUUGAUUUGGGGAUUUUAUUUCAGAUUUAGAAAUUCAAAGUUCUAAUCUUUUAAUUUUCUGUUUCGUUUCAGAUCUGAUUGUUUAGGGUUUUCAUAGGAGUUUCCCGUGACUUGGCAACUCGAUCUUGGUCCGCGCUCAACCCCCGUAUCAUUUAUCCUUCCCAUUGAAAUGAUAAUAUAACAGAAAAAAUCAAGUAAAGCAUUAAAUCAGCAUGAAGUAUAUCAGAUAUAACCAACUUUGGGAAAACACUUAUUUACCUAUAAUAUCAGCAUUAAAAUCGGCAUAAACACUUAUUUAAUCCUAACAUUUAAUUUAACAUAAACAUAAUAGAAAUGUCUACUUGGACAACACUUAAAACAUGCUUUGGAUGACAUUUAAAACAUAUUUUGGACAACAUUUAAAACUUACUUUGACAGCAUUUGAAACAUACUUUUGCUGGCACUUAAUGCAUAUCAAAUGUUACAGAGAUACAAACAGGCUUCUGCUCAAUUUCAAUCUGAUUAAUAUAAACAAAUCAAUUCCAUAUAACUACUUCAAGAUAACUCAAUUCUUUCUUGGCAUCGGACUGUAGCAAUAAAUAACACAAAAUAUCAUAACAUACAAAAUUUAAUAAGCAUCAAACUAAGAAUUUGCUCACCGUAAACUUCGGGUUAUUCAAAUCGUAAUCAUUUAAUUCAUAUUUUUUGAUUUAAACCUUUAAUGCCAAAAAUAUUAUAUAAAUGACAGUUCAAAUAGUGAGCAAAGCAAUAUAAUAGAAAUGCAUCAUCAAUUAAUAGUGUAAGUCCCAUAUGAACUUACCUGACAAAAAUGGUGACACGCAAAACGCCGAGGACUAAUUCGCAAAAAAAAAGACUUUUCCUCAACUAUCCCCUGAUUACCUCAAAUCUCGAUCUAUACAAUAAUUUAUUUCGAUUUAUCAAUUUCAAACAUGUCAAAACAACCUAUUAUAAUCAUAUAUAUUAAUUCAAAAAAAUUCAAUGAUCCCUAAAGUUUUGUAUUUUAUUCAAUUUAGUCAUUAAAACCGAAAUGGUUAUAUCUUGCAAAUUUGAGAACCAAUUUUUAAAAAGAUUUCAAAUACUUCCCAUUACAACCCUCUGCUAUCAAUAAUUAUAGAAAAUUAAUACCAAUUUUGAAAUAUUUUAAUUUUUGUCCCUAUAUUCAAAACUAACAAUUAAACUUUACAAAUUAGUCUCUCUUUUUCUUUUUCCAAAUCUAAACUUAAAAAGUUAACCAUUUAACACCAAAACUUCAAACAUUCAACUAAAGUAACAUCUUCAAAUUUUAACAAUAACAAAAAUUACAAGAUGGGUCGGCUAGCUUAUAGUACCGGAAUUUCAAAAACAUAAAAAUUAUAAGAAAAUAACUAAAUUGCACUAACCAAUUUGAAGCUUGAAAAGUUUAAACCCCAUGCGUCCUUCUCCUUUCUUUUUUCGAAAAGGCUAGGAUGAAAAGAGAAUAAUCUCUCUCUUCCCAUCCACUAAUAUCAUCUUUUAAUUUCUUUUUGUCUUUUUUGUCUUUUAACAAUAAUUUUACUAAAGUUUACAAAUAUAAAAUAUAUAAUAAGUCUUAACCAGCCACUCGUAUAUAUUCAUAUAUAGUAAUUUAUUUACUUUAUAAGUCCUAUAUAUUAAAUUCUAAUUGUAAUUCUUUAAUAAUUCUUACUUUAAUUACUUACAUGAUUUAGUUCAUGUACUCUAAUUAAACACUAUUUUGAUGAAAUUAACUAUAUGAAAUUUAAUUUAUUCCUAACAUAGCUCCGUAAAUAUUUAAUAAAAAUAUUUACGAAUCCUAUUUACGGAAAUGGGAUCCCAAUACAUGAAUUUCCAAAAUCACUGACUUUAGAACUGAUACACUUGUACUUUUACUAAUUGUCCAAUUAGCAAAUUUAUCCGAUUAAAAUUUAAUAUAAAAUUAUAAUUAACUCAUAAAUAUUAUUUAAUAAUAUUUACUGACUUGGUUUAUGGAAACGGGAUCUCGAAAUCGUAAUUUUCAACUCCACUCACUUUAGUAUCAUUACACUUGUACCUUAAUUUACUAUCAAUUAAGCAAAAUUAUUAGACUAACUUUAAUAUGUUUCUAUACUAGUCUCAUAAAUAUUAAAUAUUAAUAUCUAUGAACACAUUUUACAAAAAUGACAUUUCAGAACUGUAAUUUUUUAGACCACUGGAAACUGGAUCGUUACAGAAUCGAUUAGUUGAACGAAAUUAUUAUUUAGAUCAAGAAACAAAUUAAUCGGACACAAACAGUGGAAAAGCUGAAGUAGUGAAAUAGUUGUCGGCAUCGUGUUUGUAACUGUUUUUAUUUAGGUAAGUUCGCAUAUUGAUUAAGUUGUUAAUUGCUAUUUUGGAAAAAUUGUUUAUUAACAUCUGUGUUAGGUAUAGGUUAAGUUGAUUGAUAAAUAUAACUUGACGAUUUGGAUUAAAUUAAAAUGUUAAUUAAAUUGAAUAUUAUGAUUGAAAAUGGGAAAACUUUAUGGUUAAGUAAUGGUGAUGAACUAUUAUAUAAAUGAUUACAUGGUUUGGAUAAGAUAUGACCCGUUUGAACCUUGUGAGUGCUUAAGAUAUAAAUGACAUGUCAUUAGGGUUUAUUAUAGUUUCGGGUGCUGGUCUCAGAUGUCCUACCGAUGGUUAAGGUCUUGCAUUUGUUGCGGAUCCUCCACAACUCGUGUGAGCAACAUCGUGUAGUCUAAUAUCCCGACCUACAGCUCGUGUGAGCAUUUUCCUGCGUAUUCAAUGUUAUGUCAUUGUGGUUCAUCGGGUAUUAAAUGAUAUACAAAUGAGUAAAUUGAUUUAUGUAAAGGACAUUUAUGAAUUGGUUAUAUGGUAUCAAGCAUUGAGUGGAUUGUGUCAUAUAUUAUAGACAUGAAAUGGACGAUUGAAUCGAAAUUGUUAUUUAUUAACAUUCUAUGAUAUGAUAUGGUUUUAAGUUCUUAAAUAUGUGAACUCACUAACUUGUGAGAUUUGUGAUGUGUAUAGGAAUUGAAUGAUCUCAUGAGCUUAUUAAUGAAAUUAUGCAUGAAUUGUAUAAAUUGAGCCUAUUUGGUAAAUUUACGUUUAUGAUUUAUACAAGCUUACUAAGCACUAGUUGCUUACGUUAGUUGUUUUCUUUUUCUUUAAACCAUCGAAAAUCUCGACCGGUUGUAAUCAAGUCGGAGCAUACACACUAUCCGCCCUUCAUCUCGGUAGAAGUUUUGGUCAUUUUGAAGUUGGCUAUAAAUGGCAUGUACUAGGAGCUUUUAAGUUUUGUUGUUAUAAUGAUGUAGUUUAAACUUGGUUUAAGCAUACUUGUGAUUAUAUCUUUUGAGUUCGCUUGUAAAUGUCCAUAUGUAGGUUUCUUUAGUAUGUGGUAAAUUGUUUGUGAAUAGAAUGGUUGAAUUUUGUAUGUUUGGCAUGUGUUUAAGAUAAAGACUUGUGAUCUUUGAAUGUGAAUUAGUUUGGUGUAUGAAAUGUGGUGCCAAUGAGGGCAUAUUGGUUAGUCACUUAGGUUGAACACUUUGGUAUGUUUUAAGCUGGUUUGAAUGUGUUUUGAAGGCAUCAGAAUGGUUGGUUUUGGUUUGGCUUGGCACCUAAGGAAUGGGUAAUGUUAUGGCUUGUUUUAGAAGUCAUUUUAGGUGCACACGACCUGGGACACAGGCUGUCACACGACUGUGUGCCACACACGGUCACUUCAUACAGGCAAGUGGUUUAUUUAAUUUUGGUGCAGGUUUGUUCCACACGGUCAUAGGUUGAUACACGACUAUGUGACCCUAUAUCGAAUAGCACAUAGUCUGGCACACGGUCUGCGACACGACUGUGUGACCCUAUUUUUGAACUGUACACAGUUUGCCCACACGGCCAUGUUUCUAAGCCACAUGAUCUGGGCUUUAUCACACAGCUGUGUGACCCUUGUUUUCAAUUUUUUUUACUAUUUUUUGUUUUGUUUCAAAUUAGUCCUUGAUUGUUUAUAAAUUGAUUUUUAGGUUCCGUGGGCUCGAUAAGGCCCGUAAUCGUAUAUAUGCUAUGAUUGAUGAUUGGUUUUGAAUAUUUGAUAUUUAAAUUAAUAAUUGAAUGGUUUUAUGUUGUUGUUUGAUUCGAUAUGUGUCGUAAUACUCCAUAACCCUAAUCUGACGACAGAGAUGGGUUAGAGGUGUUACAAGUGGAGUUGGGUAGGAUCUAUUCUAAUAAAUUGAAAUUGCAUUGCUAUGCAUGAGCGUAUGCAUACAUAAACUGUGAAUGCUGAGAUAUUAUUACACCAAUGUGUUGAUCUAAAGAACCCAUACUUUGAAUCACUAGAUGAGUGUGAAUGUUAUGAGAAUUAUUAUUUUGUAUACGACAUCUAUUGUUUGCACUGAUUUUCUUAUGAUAGGACUCACACUAAACUUCAAUAGCUCACCCCACUUAGUUUUCCAUCUUUUUAGAUAACUCGCAAGGUUAAGGCAUAGACUAGGUAUCCAGAAAGUCUUGGCUUGGAUUGCCUUUUUCUAAAAAUAUAUUAGAUUUACUAUUUGAAUUUUUGGUUAUUCAAAAGUUGUAUUCUUCUAUUUUUGAACUAUGGCAUGAGAUUUAAGUUUUGGGUUUAUAUAGAAUGCAUGAAAUUUAAAUUGAUUUUAGGAUGUUGAAAUAUGGAUUUUAAUUAUUUAUGCAUGAAAUUUGAUUUUUCCUUAAAACUAUUUUAGACAUCACUUUUUCGUUACAUUAUCAUGUAAAUGAGAUUUGAAAAAAAAAAGAUAUGCACAUAAAAUUGGAAAACAUCUUUUGCUAAGUAAACUUUAAAAUCCAUCGUUUUUAGGAAAUUAUAUCUUUUAGUGAAAAUGAGAUAAAACGCUAGGUUUUUCUUCAAAGGUAGAUAAAUGCUUUUAAAAGAAUGUUUUAAACUCCAGAUUUAUUUUUUACUUGGCUAUCUUGGUGGCUAAUAUAGCCUUUCGAAUUCGAUCGUAACUUCUAGACCAAGUUGGGGAAGUUAUAGAUGUUAUCAUAUGACAUGUGGUAGCAUAUGAUUAGUUGGACAUUCCAACUGUUAGUUUUUAACAUUAAAGGAUUAAACUGGGAAUAUCCAAUAAUGUUAGAGACUAAAAUAAGACUAAAAAAAAAAAACCUUUAAACACCAAAGUGAGAAAAACAAUAUACCUUGGAGACUAAAGUGUGCAUUAAGCCUAAAAUUUAUUGUUUUAGGUUUAUUCUAUAGGGAAGGAAAGUUAAAAAGUAACCUGAAACAAAAAAUAAAUUAUAAAAAAUUUGAAUUAUUAAGGCUUAAUCUAGGAUUUCAUCAUUCAACUUUACUUUUUUUUUGUCUAACAUUUUUUUCUACUAAAAUUAUAAAUUUAUAUUAGUCACGUAACAGAUUUUAGUAUUAAAAAAAAAGUAUCAAAACAAAACAAAAUAUUAGUAAUUGAUUAAUAUUUGACAUAAAAAUUUUAUAAAUUAAACAUUUAUAUUAUUAUGUUUUAAAGUUCUCUAAUUUUUCUAACAAAAUUUAAGAAAUAAGUAAAAGGCCAUCUCACAACGCCGGCCACCGCAUGUGGUGGCACUACGGCGGCAGCAACGGCCUGAAUCCAUGGCCGGAUUUGGAGGUUUGAGAGAGAACUUCAAAGUUCUUUGUUUUUUUUAAAAGAAAUGGGGAUGAAUCUGAUUUUUAGGGUUUUUUUAAUAUUUAUACCCAUUAAAAAACGACGUCGUUUCACCUGUGGCUCUCCGCGCCAAAAUGGCACCGUUUUGCCUUAGACCCGCGCGCGACCCGACCCGCUCCAGGGGGGAUCCACGUGUUUUCGUUCAAUGGUAUAUUUGCAACCCUGGCCCUUCCGCGUUCAUGCCCUUUUCAAUUUACUCCCCUUUUUGGUUAUUUUCACGUUUUUAAAUUUGGCCCCGCAAUUUUGUUUGGUUUUCAACCAAGUCCUUGACCCACCGACGGCUGAAACGACGGACACGUGUCUGAAUUUGGGUUUUAUUACCCAUUCGGUCCCUUCUAUAUUCGUGCGCAUUAUAAUUUGGUCCUUUUUGUGUUUUUCAUUUUUUAUUUCGGCCCUAAAAUUUAAUUUAGCUUCCAAUUUAAUCCUCAAUCUGUCAUUUUAGGUUUUCUUUACUUUUAUUAUUUAUUUUAAUAUUAUUAAUACUAUUAUAUUGCACCCUUAUUAUUAUUAUUAUUAUUAUUAUUAUUAUUAUUAUUAUUAUUAUUUUGUUUAUACUCCUUUAAUUUUAAAAUUCUUGUUAUAUAUUUACAUAUACAAACGCAUACUUUUUAUAGUAUAUAUGUGUACAUAUUUUAUUUUAUUUUUAUUUUUAUUUUUUAUUUUUUUGUGUGUAAAUACAUACAUUUUUCUAAUACAUAUACACGUACAUAUUCUUUUUAAGUUUAUUUUUAAAUAUGUAUGUGCCUACUUAUACAUAUUAUUUGUAUUCUAUACCUUUUAUAUAUACAUAUAUUUAUUUUCAUAAAUACAUAUUUAUAUAUUUUUAUAUUUUCACAUAGUUUUUAUAUAUACUUUUAUAUUUUAGAUAUAUAUAUAUACAUACUUAUGUUUUACGCUUAAAAAUACAUGGAUAUGCAUAUUCUUUUUAUAUACAUUCACUUACUUUAUAAUUUAUAACUUAAAUAUGUUUAUAUUCAUACAUGAACAUUUUAUCUCUUACUAUUUGUAUUGUUAUUGUUAUACUAUUUGAUAUUUAUUUAUGUAUUUAUUCAUGUAUUCGUUAUUAUUUUUAAGAAAUGCUUUAAUUUUUUUAUUAUCUCAUAUACUUGAUUUGUUAUUUUAUGUAUUUUAUUUCUUUUUGAUUAUUGCUUAUAUUAGUUUUGCUUGUAUUAUCAUUAUCAUUUUGUUAUACAUAUUAAUAUUUCAUUUAUUCCUACCAUUUUAUGUUAGGUUAAUUUUAUUUAAUAUGAUUUUAAAAUAAAGCAAAAUCUCGUAUUUUAGAUUCGAGAAGAUUGAGCCCUAACGUAUUGGGUUUCAUUUUUCUUCGUUGAAUCUAAAUAAUCGAGAAUGCUCUUUAAUCAAAAAAUAUAAAAUAAAAAAGCUCAUUAUCGAGAAUUCAAUACGUUGUGUCCUAACGCAUUGGAUGUGACACGUUGAUUUCUCGAUAUGAAAUUUUUUCUAAAAAAUAAUAAAGGCAAUAUUCAAUGUUUAAAAUUUUUUUUGCAAGCUAUACUUUUAUAAUAAGUCCUUCAAAUUUUCUUAUCAUAAUAAAUCACUGUAAAUUUUAAAUUAUUAUUAAAAAUUCUUUCUAAGUAUAUAAUUAUUUUUACAAAUAAAAUACACUAAAACUGAAGUACCUAUUUAAAAUAUAAAUAAUGUUAUGAUAAAUUAUUUAGUAGUACAAUAUUUAAAUUUAAUUAACAAUAUAAAUUCAGUAAUUAAUAAUUAAAAUUAAGUUAGAAACUAUGUAUAAAAAUAUAAUUUUAGAAAAUCUACUAUUAUAAUAUUUAUAUUUUAAAAAUAAUUUCAAAAUAUUGUCAAAAGGUUUAAUGAUGGAUAAAAAUAUUGUUUAUUUCAGAUUUUUUUUUAAAAUAUUCUUUUUAUUUUUGAUAUUUAGAUUUUUCUUAUUAGAGGUACAGCCCAUUGAUGUAUUUGCUAAGGAUUUGGUGAGAGAAAAUGUUUUUGCUUAUAUUAUAUAUUAUUUAUUUCUUUUUAAAAUGGUUACAAGGUUUUUUUUUCCUUAAAAUUUUGUAAUUUGAUUUGCUUUCUAUUUGGUUUACUCCAUCAUGGCGUUUAAAAUUUACUUAGAAAAUUAAUGCAUGCCAUCGACCUGUUUUUGUGCCUUGCGUUCCAAUGCUAUGAUGGAGAAAUAAAAGAUUGAAAGAGAUUGACUUUGCUUUCACCCGACAGAUAAUGUGUGGUUUGAGUAUAUCUGUGAAUUAAAACCUUUAAUUGUAUAAUAAUAAUAAUAAGAAGGCUGAAUUGUCCAUUUCUAUAUUCACUUUGAGCCUAGUAAGGAAGAAGAUUCCUUCCCCAUUUCCCUCUCUGGUGUUGGAGGCGAAGCUCCUAUGUUCAUGAAUGAAGACGAUGAAGAGGGAGCAGGGUUGGAUGCUGCAUAUGUUGACAAACCACUCACAUCACUGUUUACAGUCAUGGUUGUUCCACUGCUCAAGCCUUCAGCAACCAGUUUUGGAGCUGGUGGCCUCUCAAUAUCGAUGACCCCUUCUAACAUCUGCACCACUUUUCCCAUCAUUGGCCUUUGGGAUGGUUGUUCCUGUAUGCACCAAAAGCUCACCAUAAUUGCCCUUUCGACUUCCUCACUAUCAACAUCUUUUAUUCUUUUAUCAACAAUGGCCUCAAUGUGACCCUUUUCAAACUCCGAAUAAGCCCAUAGGGAGAACUUUUUACCGUCUGUUUCCGGUGAGACCUCGAAGUUCCUUCUUCCACUCACUAUUUCUAAUAAAACCAUUCCAUAGCUAUAAACAUCGCACUUUGAGGUUAUUGGAUGAUUUGCAAGCCACUCUGGUGCCAAGUAUCCUCUAGUCCCUCUGAUGCUUGCCAAUGACAAGUGCCUAUGAUCCUUUGGCUUCAUAAGCUUUGCAAGGCCGAAAUCCGACACUUUGGCAGUGUAACCUUCAUC
RNAcentral lists this long non-coding RNA (30495 nucleotides) under Gossypium barbadense (sea-island cotton). Its description in RNAcentral is "long non-coding RNA (GBAR_LNC014000)". The record is from RNAcentral. Lineage: Eukaryota; Viridiplantae; Streptophyta; Magnoliopsida; Malvales; Malvaceae.